UUGGUUUAAAUUAUCGUGGAUCUACACUUUAAAAAUUAAACCCACACAAAAUGGUGGGACAUACAUUGAUCUUAUCUAA
This 79-nucleotide microRNA precursor is filed under the name Medicago truncatula (barrel medic). RNAcentral's name for it is "MIR5269 microRNA precursor family". It matches the Rfam family "MIR5269 microRNA precursor family". The record is from Rfam by way of RNAcentral. Lineage: Eukaryota; Viridiplantae; Streptophyta; Magnoliopsida; Fabales; Fabaceae.